This 256-nucleotide ribosomal RNA is filed under the name uncultured bacterium. RNAcentral describes it as "partial 16S ribosomal RNA". It matches the Rfam family "Bacterial small subunit ribosomal RNA", at positions 522 to 776 of the family's 1533-position model. The record is from RNAcentral.
UACGGGGGGGGGGCAAGCGUUGUUUCGGAAUUACUGGGCGUAAAGGGCUCGUAGGCGGCCAACUAAGUCAGACGUGAAAUCCCUCGGCUUAACCGGGGAACUGCGUCUGAUACUGGAUGGCUUGAAUCCGGGAGAGGGAUGCGGAAUUCCAGGUGUAGCGGUGAAAUGCGUAGAUAUCUGGAGGAACACCGGUGGCGAAGGCGGCAUCCUGGACCGGCAUUGACGCUGAGGAGCGAAAGCCAGGGGAGCAAACGGG